ACUGAUAAAGGUUUGCUAGCUGCAAAGCAGACAUUCUUUUCGGUUGAUGCUAGGUGUGGUUGUGUGAGUUGGACUCUCAUUUCAUGCAGGGUAAUUAGAAGUGCAUGUCUUCUCUUCACGGGGGACACAGGCUUCUGUUUGGAAGUUUAACUUUUAUGAGUUCACCUCCAUUGUGACUCGAGCUGCAGGAAUGCAGUGCACUGCAAUGGAACGUUCCCCUUUUAUCUGCAUGUGUUAAUGCACUGUGGCCUGUGGGACAAUUGAGCAUACUGAAAAGUAGGCCUAUAUUUUUAGUUAUGUUUGAGUUGACCAUGGUAAUGCUGUUUAAUGAGGUUGGUAACUAACAUGCUUGGUUUCUCUUGAAAAGGGACCAGGCCAGCCACUGUUUCCAUGUGACUUUCUAAGCAUUUCUUUAUUGCUUCCUGUUGCUUAAUUUUUUGUUUGAUAUUGUUUGGUUAUCUGUAUUUUUACCACUCAUGUGCCACAGUCAUAUUAGCAUGUAUUUUUCUUGACUAAGUGUUGCCUUUUAUGCUGGUGGUUCUCCUCCCUGACUAUGUCUUUUGCGUAGGUUAUCCUUGUACAAGGACGGAUCUAGACUGAUGCGUUGCCCCUUCUCUUCAGGGGACCACACUGGGCGAGACACCAUAGUGGUGUGUACUUAAUAACUACAACACGGUGUGACAUUUUGUAGUGGUAUCUAACGGUCUUAAGUGUGUAUAGCUUGCUGUGUUGCAUGCUUCGACUGGUGCUGGGUUGCUGUCUCCUGUUUCUGUCUCCCUAGGGGCCUCCUGAGCAGGGGUUGUGCAUUCGCUGAUCCGACCUUCCUAUAUGGAGGAAAAUCCACCAGCCAUUUAUCCUAGCAUUUUUUAAGAUCUAUUUUAAUAACUUUUCUAUGUAUUUUUUUCACAAAAUUAUGUAAUAAAUUUUACGGAAGCCCU
This is a long non-coding RNA of Pimephales promelas (fathead minnow), 938 nucleotides long. RefSeq lists it as uncharacterized. NCBI's taxonomy places the organism in Eukaryota, Metazoa, Chordata, Actinopteri, Cypriniformes, Leuciscidae. The record is from RefSeq and is a predicted model, not a curated record.